This 48-nucleotide ribosomal RNA is filed under the name Diplodia sapinea. RNAcentral's name for it is "partial small subunit ribosomal RNA". The record is from RNAcentral. Lineage: Eukaryota; Fungi; Ascomycota; Dothideomycetes; Botryosphaeriales; Botryosphaeriaceae.
AAAAGUCGUAACAAGGUUUCCGGUAGGUGAACUGCGGAAGGAUCAUUA